CGAGGCGGACGGGUGACCGCCGACAAGUGAAUAACGUGUUGGAGGAAAGUCCGGGCUCCACAGAGCAGGGCGCUGGGUAACACCCAGUCGGGGCGACCCGAAGGAAAGUGCCACAGAAAUAACACCGCCAGGCCGAGACUGUCUCCGGAGAGUCUUGGUCGGGUAAGGGUGAAAUGGUGGGGUAAGAGCCCACCGGCGGCCGGGUAACCGGCCGGCCAGGCAAACCCCGCCCGGAGCAAGACCAAAUAGGAGAGCGUUCACGGUGGCUCGCCGAGCUCUCGGGUAUCGGUCGCUAGAGGUGCCGGGCAACCGGCAUCGCAGACAGAUGGUCACCGUCCCGCAAGGGAUACAGAACCCGGCUUAUGUCCGUUCUCGGUCC
This 379-nucleotide RNase P RNA is filed under the name Chloroflexota bacterium. RNAcentral's name for it is "Chloroflexi bacterium RNase P RNA component class A". It matches the Rfam family "Bacterial RNase P class A". From Rfam's summary of the family: Ribonuclease P (RNase P) is a ubiquitous endoribonuclease, found in archaea, bacteria and eukarya as well as chloroplasts and mitochondria. The record is from RNAcentral. Lineage: Bacteria; Bacillati; Chloroflexota.